AGGGCGCCUGAAGGAUUGGCGAGGGCGCUGUCUCCGAGUUUGCUGACGAGGUUGGAACGUGGAAGACGAUUGAGGUUGUCAAGGAUCUCGUCUGUCUUCUCGUCAAACAGACCAGCGCCAUCUAAAGGAUCUAAGCAAAUCUACCACUGCCACAUGGAGGCUUUCCGGAACAUGACUUUUUUAACAAUCAAAUUCAGCUAAUUGUGCUGCUUUGCAUGGCAUCAAAACUCCGCUGACUGAAGUGACUUCCUGUCUGCCCAAUAGCAAAGUAGUAAGACUGGCCCUGUCCAAAACUGCAUACAAUUAAGCAUAAGUGUUGAAAGUAUUGUAACACGAAAGGAACAGUUCCAUACAUUGUGAAUGCUGAAAACAAUCUAGUUAAGAUAAAUCAUGAUGAAUGAGUCCUAAUCCAAUACCAUUGGUUUUAAAAACACUCUCAACUACCCAAUUGCUUUUUUUGUG
This is a non-coding RNA of Pogona vitticeps (central bearded dragon), 462 nucleotides long. Lineage: Eukaryota; Metazoa; Chordata; Lepidosauria; Squamata; Agamidae. The record is from RefSeq and is a predicted model, not a curated record.